UUUCGGUAGAUUCUUAGUGGCGAACGGGUGAGUAACGCGUGGGCAAUCUGCCCUUCAGAUGGGGACAACAUCCCGAAAGGGGUGCUAAUACCGAAUACGAUCAUAAUUCCGCAUGGGAUUAUGAUGAAAGAUGGCCUCUAUAUAUAAGCUAUCGCUGAAGGAUGAGCCUGCGUCUGAUUAGCUAGUUGGUGGGGUAACGGCCUACCAAGGCGAUGAUCAGUAGCCGGUCUGAGAGGAUGAACGGCCACAUUGGGACUGAGACACGGCCCAAACUCCUACGGGAGGCAGCAGUGGGGAAUAUUCCGCAAUGGACGAAAGUCUGACGGAGCAACGCCGCGUGAGUGAUGAAGGUUUUCGGACUGUAAAGCUCUGUUGUUUAGGACGAAAGUACCUGUUGCAAAUAGUUGCGGGUAUUGACGGUACUGAACGAGGAAGCCACGGCUAACUACGUGCCAGCAG
Molecule: ribosomal RNA, 459 nt
Filed under: uncultured Phascolarctobacterium sp.
Lineage: Bacteria; Bacillati; Bacillota; Negativicutes; Acidaminococcales; Acidaminococcaceae
Description: bacterial SSU rRNA
Rfam family: Bacterial small subunit ribosomal RNA
Source: RNAcentral